GGCUGGCCCAAGUACAGUGGUGUCUACAACAAAUUGAUCACAACCAGUUGCAGAUUUCUUUGUUCCUUCUCCACUCCCACUGCUUCACUUGACUAGCCUUAA
This 102-nucleotide Y RNA is filed under the name Aotus nancymaae (Ma's night monkey). Its description in RNAcentral is "Y RNA (ENSANAG00000014534.1)". It matches the Rfam family "Y RNA". Rfam says of the family: Y RNAs are components of the Ro ribonucleoprotein particle (Ro RNP), in association with Ro60 and La proteins. Lineage: Eukaryota; Metazoa; Chordata; Mammalia; Primates; Aotidae. The record is from Rfam by way of RNAcentral.